UCCCGUUGAUCCUGCGGGAGAUUGCUGCUAUUGGAAUUCGACUAAGCCAUGCAAGUUCUGGGGUUCUUCGGAACACCGGCAAAAGGCUCAGUAACACGUCGAUAAUCUGCCCUUAGGCCAAGGAUAACCUUGGGAAACUGAGGCUAAAACUUGAUAGGGGAAUUCUACUGGAAUGUGUUUUCCUUUAAACUUUAAAGCCUAAGGAUGAGUCGGCGGCCGAUUAGGUUGUUGGUGAGGUAAAGGCUCACCAAGCUUAUGAUCGGUACGGGCCCUGAGAGGGGUAGCCCGGAGAAGGUCACUGAGACACUGGACCUAGCCCUACGGGGUGCAGCAGGCGCGAAACCUUUACAAUGCACGAAAGUGUGAUAAGGGAAUUCCAAGUGCUCAUGCUUUGCAUGGGCUUUUGUCAAGAGUAAAUAUCUUGGCGAAUAAGUGGUGGGCAAGACUGGUGCCAGCCGCCGCGGUAACACCAGCGCCACAAGUGGGAAUCGUAUUUAUUGGGCCUAAAGCGUCCGUAGCCUGAUUGAUAAAUCUUUUGUGAAAUUGUUUAGCUCAACUAAACACCGUGCAGGAGACACUGUCAUUCUCGGGACCAGGAGGAGCUAGAAGUAUUCUUGGGGGAGCGGUAAAAUGUUAUAAUCCUAAGAAGACUACCUGUGGCGAAGGCGUCUAGCCAGAAUGGGUCCGACGGUGAGGGACGAAAGCUAGGGGAGCAAACCGGAUUAGAUACCCGUGUAGUCCUAGCUGUAAACGCUGCGAGUUAGGUGUUGUGCAUUCUCCGAGAAUGUGCAGUAUCGAAGCGAAGGCACUAAACUCGCCGCCUGGGAAGUAUGGUCGCAAGACUGAAACUUAAAGGAAUUGGCGGGGGAGCACCACAAGGGGUGCGGCGUGCGGUUUAAUCUAACUCUACACAGAGAACCUCACCAGAAGCGACGGCAGAAUGAAGGUCAGUCUAAAGGGCUUACCUGACGAGCCGAGAGGUAGUGCAUGGCCGUCGUCAGCUCGUGCUGUGAAGUGUCCUGUUAAGUCAGGCAACGAGCGAGACCUGUAUCUAUAAUUGCUAACGGAUUCUUUAGAAUGUCUGAGCACAUUAUAGGGACUGCCUUCGAAAGGAGGAGGAAGGUGCAGGCUACGAUAGGUCUGUAUGCUCCGAAUCUUCUGGGCUACACGCGCGCAACAAUGACAAGGACAAUGGGUCGCGACUCCGAAAGGAGAAGCUAAUCCUCGAAACCUUGCCUAAGUUCAGAUUGAGGUUUGCAACUCAGCCUCAUGACGCUGGAAUCCCUAGUAAUCGGACGUCAUCAGCGUCCGGUGAAUAUGUCCCUGCUCCUUGUACACACCGCCCGUCAAACCACUCGAGCAGGGUUUGGGUGAGCAUUAACCUUUUGGUUAAUUCGAAUCUAAACUCAGUAAGAUGGGUUAAGUCGUCACAAGGUA
RNAcentral lists this ribosomal RNA (1437 nucleotides) under metagenome. RNAcentral describes it as "bacterial SSU rRNA". It matches the Rfam family "Archaeal small subunit ribosomal RNA". The record is from RNAcentral.